GACGAACGCUGGCGGCGUGCCUAACACAUGCAAGUCGAACGGAACUUCUUUAAAGGAUUUCUUCGGAAUGAAUUUGAUUAAGUUUAGUGGCGGACGGGUGAGUAACGCGUGAGUAACCUGCCUCUGAGAGGGGAAUAACAUUCUGAAAAGAAUGCUAAUACCGCAUAAUAUAUAUUUAUCGCAUGGUAGAUAUAUCAAAGAUUUAUCGCUUAGAGAUGGACUCGCGUCCGAUUAGUUAGUUGGUGAGGUAACGGCUCACCAAGACCGCGAUCGGUAGCCGGACUGAGAGGUUGAACGGCCACAUUGGGACUGAGACACGGCCCAGACUCCUACGGGAGGCAGCAGUGGGGGAUAUUGCGCAAUGGGGGAAACCCUGACGCAGCAACGCCGCGUGAAGGAUGAAGGUCUUCGGAUUGUAAACUUCUUUUAUUAAGGACGAAGAAAGUGACGGUACUUAAUGAAUAAGCUCCGGCUAACUACGUG
This 483-nucleotide ribosomal RNA is filed under the name uncultured bacterium. RNAcentral's name for it is "bacterial SSU rRNA". It matches the Rfam family "Bacterial small subunit ribosomal RNA", at positions 28 to 507 of the family's 1533-position model. The record is from RNAcentral.